This 2618-nucleotide long non-coding RNA is filed under the name Salmo salar (Atlantic salmon). RNAcentral's name for it is "lncRNA (ENSSSAG00000108864.1)". Lineage: Eukaryota; Metazoa; Chordata; Actinopteri; Salmoniformes; Salmonidae. The record is from RNAcentral.
CAGUUAUUUGGUGAUGUGAAUAUAUUUAGUAUAGUUUUGUCUAAAAAGGAUAACUUUUUAAAAUGUUUUUCUGAAAUUCACUGAGUAGGAUGGUCCUCCCCUUCAUCCUCUGAGGAGCCUCCACUGCUAACAGAAUAAGCAAAUUGUGUCCUAACUUUUAGUUGAUUCACCAGGCAAAGCAGUGUGUGUGAUGAGGACUAACAGCUGCCAGUCUGACAGCAGUGGCUUCCUGGAAGAGCCCUUCAUCCCUUCCAUUACCCAGCAUCCCUCACCUGGACCCGAGCUCAUGAAGGCUUUGUCGGGAAUAUUUGGAGGCAGCACUGACAGCCAGAUCACUGUAAAAGGAGCUUCACCCCCCUCGUCCCCCCCAUCCACUUCCCUGGACCCUUCCCCUCCUUCCCUCUCCAUGUGCCACCCAAGACCCGAGUCUCCUCUAUACAGACCAGAGACAACAAGCCCUACAGAGGAGACACCCAGACACCAGGAUUCCCCCACACCCCACUCCCUCUCUGAUGCCUUGGAGAUGACUAACUCUGCUUUUGGAGCCAGGCCAAGCCUAAUGGAAAACACUGUCACUGAGGAAGAUGGAUUCUCUUCGGCCUGCGGUUCACCUUGUCAUAAGCCAGACUCUCCGUUACGGCACGUUAUUAUUAUCAUGAAAACAGAUAGAGAAACAGAACACUUUACUGUGGAAUCAGAGGAAGCUGUUCCAAUAGGAGGAGAGGAAAAGGACAUAGCGGAACAAAGUGGCAAUGUUCAGACAGGAACAGAGGCUGUUGGUGAUCAGGACACCGAUUGUUAUGGGUCACAUGAAGGCUCUCGGAUGAACUCGGUAGCUCUGGUGCAGAUGAAGAAAGAGACAGAGAUGAAGACGAAAGUACAGAUUAGUUCUGGUUUGGAAGGUCCAGUGUUGGGUCCUGUUGCUGUUCCUGAGGUGGUGAAUCAAGGCUCUGAGACUGGAUCUGUUUGUCAGGACCGGUACUCUGAAGAUCCUCUAUUAGGAUCUGACCCUAACUUCUCAGCAGAGCCUCUCCCUGCCUCCUCUCUCCCCCCAGCAGAGCCUCUCCCUGCCUCCUCUCUCCCCCCAGCAGAGCCUCUCUCUGCCUCCCUCCCCCCAGUGCACUGGGAAACAGGUGGCUCAAAGAUUUCAGAGGGAUCCUCAAGCUUGGUUGUCCAAGAGCCUGUCCCACCACUAUAUCAACCAGCAGACCCAUCGACAGACCCACCUCCAGGCCCAGCUUUAACCUCACCUUCAGAGCAAGUGUCACCUCCAUCCCCACCACCAUCUCCAUCCCCAGCCUCGUGGCCACACCAACCUCCAGCCUCAGCUUUUCCGGCAGCAUCCAGCUCAUCUCCAACCCAAGCCCAUUCCCCAAUCCCAAACCAUUCUCUAUCAGCCCUAACCACAACACCAACCCCAUCCUCAAUUCCAAACUCGCCAUCAGCCCAUUCCUUAACCGUAGCUCCAUCUCAAGCCCCAACUCCACUCGUCCCCCACAGUGGUGCUUUCAGGUCAGGCCGGUCUGUGUCUGUCCAGAUGCCCUCCUCCCUGCCCUCUGUCUCCCACUCUGCCCUCCGGAGAGGUGGCGUCCCCCACACCCCCUCCCCGCUCGGCCCUUCCUUCGAGCCCCGCCCCCUGACUGACCUGACGCUCCGGCAGAGGCGGAACUCCUUCUCCAGGAAGGCGUGGUCAGAUGCUGAUGUCUCCCACUUUGCAGAACACAGAAACACUGCGGUUGCCAUGGGAAAGGCAGUCAUGACACCUGAGAUGAUAUCCCUCCUGUCCCCCGUCCCCUCCCUGUCAUCGUCCAAUCGGUGGCUGUCUCGCGACGGUUCACGAAGAUCCGGAAGUUUCCAGAUGAAGUCCACCUCCUUGGACACGGGGCUGUGGCAGGAGGAAGAGGGGGAUGAAGUGGGGGAUGAGGAUAGACGGUGGGAACGAGCCCUGUUCUCUGGGCUUUCCUGCUGCUGCUCCUGUGAUAACCGCUGUAGCUGCUGUUCUCAGAACAAUCACCUCAAACCAUCCUCCGUUUCAGCUUUCCCUUAUUCCCUGGAUGAGCUGGAGGGGAUGAUGCACUGUAUGAGGAAGUUCCGCUGCGUCCUGACAGACAUCGAGGAACAGCUGUCAGAAGACCAGGCCUCGGUGUACAGCUCACUCUCUGACACUGACAGAGAUGAAGUGCGAGACAUCUUGGAGCUGAGGAAAGCUGUGAAACAGGAAGCAGGAGAGUUGGAACUGCAGCUCACUGACCUGGUUCAUCGCUAUGACGACAGCUUCAAAAUGAAGAUGCACAGACUACUCGAUGAACAAUCUCACCUCUACACCCAGCUAAGGCUCCUCCCCCUGAUCCCCAAGACCACCCCUGGCUCCGCCUCCUCUAGGAGCAUGGCCACUCAGUGCUGCCUGCUGCCCUGGCUGCCUUUGACGGACAUGUCCAGGCCACACCCCUCACCGCAGGCCACCUGGGAUUUGGAGUCCAGAUCAGCUCUGCCAGAUUCCAGUUCUAUGGGCCAGAGACUAAACCAUGGUUCUACCGGCACCAAGCCAGACAAACUGGACAUUCUGAAGGAGUCCAUACGCCACUCUGUCAAUACUGACUCACUGGAGUAAAAGAGAG